UACGAGGAAAGAACCAACAGGGAUUGCCCUAGUAACGGCGAGUGAAGCGGCAACAGCUCAAAUUUGAAAUCUGGCUCCUUUGGGGUCCGAGUUGUAAUUUGCAGAGGGAGCUUUUGGCGUCGGUCGUGGUCUAAGUUCCUUGGAACAGGACGUCACAGAGGGUGAGAAUCCCGUACGUGGCCGCCGGCCUUCGCCUUGUAAAGCCCCUUCGACGAGUCGAGUUGUUUGGGAAUGCAGCUCUAAAUGGGAGGUAAAUUUCUUCUAAAGCUAAAUACCCGCCAGAGACCGAUAGCGCACAAGUAGAGUGAUCGAAAGAUGAAAAGCACUUUGGAAAGAGAGUGAAAAAGCACGUGAAAUUGUUGAAAGGGAAGCGCUUGCGGCCAGACGUGCCCGCGGUUGAUCAUCCAGGCUCCAGCCUGGUGCACUCCUCCGCGGGCAGGCCAGCAUCAGUUCGGGCGGUCGGAUAAAGGCCUCUAUCACGUACCACCCCUCGGGGUGGCCUUAUAGGGGAGGCGCAACACGGCCAGCCCGGACUGAGGUUCCGCGCAUCUGCUAGGAUGCUGGCGUAAUGGCAGCAAGCGGCCCGUCUUGAAACACGGACCAAGGAGUCUAACAUCUAUGCGAGUGUUUGGGUGUCAAGCCCGAGCGCGCAAUGAAAGUGAACGGAGGUGGGAACCCUUACCGGUGCACCAUCGACCGAUCCUGAUGUCUUCGGAUGGAUUUGAGUAAGAGCAUAGCUGUUGGGACCCGAAAGAUGGUGAACUAUGCCUGAAUAGGGUGAAGCCAGAGGAAACUCUGGUGGAGGCUCGCAGCGGUUCUGACGUGCAAAUCGAUCGUCAAAUUUGGGCAUAGGGGCGAAAGACUAAUCG
RNAcentral lists this ribosomal RNA (869 nucleotides) under Torula sp. Its description in RNAcentral is "partial large subunit ribosomal RNA". It matches the Rfam family "Eukaryotic large subunit ribosomal RNA", at positions 50 to 937 of the family's 3401-position model. The record is from RNAcentral. Lineage: Eukaryota; Fungi; Ascomycota; Dothideomycetes; Pleosporales; Torulaceae. RNAcentral also lists the same sequence under 1 other name.